GAUGAACGCUGGCGGUAUGCCUAACACAUGCAAGUCGUACGAGAGUUUUUAACUCUAGUGGCGGACGGGUGAGUAACACGUGAGAAUUUGCCUUUAGGAGGGGGACAACAAUUGGAAACGAAUGCUAAUACCCCAUAUGCUUUCGAGUGAAAUGGAUUUUAUCCGCCUAGAGAGAAGCUCGCGGCUGAUUAGCUUGUUGGUAAGGUAAGAGCUUACCAAGGCGACGAUCAGUAUCUGGUUUGAGAGGACGAUCAGACACACUGGAACUGAGACACGGUCCAGACUCCUACGGGAGGCAGCAGUGGGGGAAUUUUCCGCAAUGGGCGAAAGCCUGACGGAGCAAUACCGCGUGAGGGAAGAAUGCCUAUGGGUUGUAAACCUCUUUUUUCUAGGGAGGAUAAAAUGACGUGUACCUGAAGAAUAAGCAUCGGCUAACUCCGUG
This 442-nucleotide ribosomal RNA is filed under the name uncultured bacterium. RNAcentral describes it as "bacterial SSU rRNA". It matches the Rfam family "Bacterial small subunit ribosomal RNA", at positions 28 to 507 of the family's 1533-position model. The record is from RNAcentral.